This is a long non-coding RNA of Microtus oregoni (creeping vole), 845 nucleotides long. RefSeq lists it as uncharacterized. The transcript has 3 exons. Lineage: Eukaryota; Metazoa; Chordata; Mammalia; Rodentia; Cricetidae. The record is from RefSeq and is a predicted model, not a curated record.
GGAAGAUAUCAGCCCCCAGGGGUACUGGAACCCCUGUCAGCCUCCUGACAACCCCCUCCCAGAUCCACGCAGCACCUUUGCGCCCCGGGUGGGUCAAUGACUACGGGACAGGGGCUUUGCUGGGGGGACACUGAAAACACGUGCAUUGGAGUAUCAAGGCCAGGCAUUAACCAAGUCACCAAGAGGAACGCGCGUAUCACAGGCACACGGACAAUGCAAGAGCCAGUCUGGAGGCAGCGGGGACAAGAGGAACACCUGCACAAGAGCCUUUAACAUUGCGUGUGCUGCAGCAAUGAGGAAGACAUCAGGCUUGAGGCCCAGUUGCUAAGUGCCUGGUUCUGACCGGAUCAAGCAGAGGCUGGUAGUCUGGGGUGUGAGAACCUGAACUUCACAGGAAGAGGCAUCCACAGCUCUACCACCACAGAUAUACGGGCUAGCAAUGCCUGAUCCCUGAGCCCCAGGACCCCUAUCUGCUGUGACCCCUAGCUGAACCUGACUGUGUGCAGCACCCAGCUCUUCAGUGGACCAGGGGCAGACCGUCCCAGGGGAGAUGGAAUUCCCUUCAGGACGGGCUUCUUGAACACCAGCCUUUUCUUUGUGCCUCUUGCUUUUUGCUGCAUGGCUAUGGCCUUUGGAGAACAUCCAGUCCUUCCCAGUAGCCCCAGAACAAGCCCAGCCUAUAGAGCCUCCUCAGGACUGUAAAGAAAUGCCCAUGCCACUGCCUGCCUCCCUGUGGGCCUCACUUGGUACUGAGGGAAGCCUCUUGGAGGGCAUGCCACUGCUUUGACUGGUCCGUGGCAUCUACCUCCUAGAGAAGGACUGGAAACCUUUUAUCACAACGGGAC